AGUGAACGCUGGCGGUAGGCCUAACACAUGCAAGUCGAACGGCAGCACAGUAAGAGCUUGCUCUUACGGGUGGCGAGUGGCGGACGGGUGAGGAAUACAUCGGAAUCUACUUUUUCGUGGGGGGUAACGUAGGGAAACUUACGCUAAUACCGCAUACGACCUACGGGUGAAAGCAGGGGAUCUUCGGACCUUGGGCGAUUUAAUGGCCCGAUGUCGGAUUAGCUAGUUGGCGGGGUAAAGGCCCACCAAGGCGACGAUCCGUAGCUGGUCUGAGAGGAUGAUCAGCCACACUGGAACUGAGACACGGUCCAGACUCCUACGGGAGGCAGCAGUGGGGAAUAUUGGACAAUGGGCGCAAGCCUGAUCCAGCCAUACCGCGUGGGUGAAGAAGGCCUUCGGGUUGUAAAGCCCUUUUGUUGGGAAAGAAAAGCAGCAGGUUAAUACCCCGCUGUUCUGACGGUACCCAAAGAAUAAGCACCGGCUAACUUCGUG
RNAcentral lists this ribosomal RNA (492 nucleotides) under uncultured bacterium. RNAcentral's name for it is "partial 16S ribosomal RNA". It matches the Rfam family "Bacterial small subunit ribosomal RNA", at positions 29 to 507 of the family's 1533-position model. The record is from RNAcentral.